Non-coding RNA from Nicotiana tabacum (common tobacco), 793 nucleotides. The record is from RefSeq and is a predicted model, not a curated record. NCBI's taxonomy places the organism in Eukaryota, Viridiplantae, Streptophyta, Magnoliopsida, Solanales, Solanaceae.
UUCAAUGAACAUUGACAGGCCCAGAAGACUUUGGAAGACAUCUUAGACAAGACUAUAGAAAUAGUGAGAGACAAUGAUCAUGCUUUGCAGGAAGCUCCCUCGACUAAUGGAGGCGGAAUCCGAUUAUUCAAGCGUGCUCCACUCGGGAUUGUAUUUGAUCACACAGAUCAACUCCAACAACCCAGAAAGAAACCAAGAAUUCAUCCUGGGAAGGGAAUUGAGGAGAAGUCAAAAGAGUUUAAAUACCAAAUCAAGUCCGUUGCUGUUGAUGGGAUGGAUAUUUUAGCUGCAUCAAAAAAUGCUUGCCAGAAAUCGUUGGCUAGACUAGAAGCAAGAGAAGCAGCAGUUAAAGCUGCUGCUAAAAGAGAGGAAGAAAGAGUUGCAGCACUAAAAGGAAUUAGGGGGGAGAGAUGGCUCCCUUCUGUGGCCAGAGAUAUGCAAUUAAGGCUUCAACGACGUUGACACCUGUAGAUGGACUAGGCUUCCAUUAUUCAGCACUCAUAUUUCAUUCUUUUACUCUUCAAGGUUUCUAUUGCUCAUUUCAGCCUCUGUUUUAUGUUAGGCUACCUGAGCCGUUGUCAUUGUCAUUUCCAGAAAAAGAUAGUGACACUGUUCAGUAUUGCCAAAAAAGAAAAGUUUCUUCUGAUUAAGCUAUUUACAUUUCUGUAUUAAAGUUAAAGUCUGGUUAUUGGACUGCCAAACAAUUGGUGUCAAGGCAAAGCAUUUCUGUAUUCAUUUGCUUCUGAAGAUCGCUCGUGAUCAUAAAUGCCAGCCAGUGAUUCGAUGGUCUGUA